RNAcentral lists this unclassified non-coding RNA (254 nucleotides) under uncultured bacterium. RNAcentral's name for it is "contains 16S-23S intergenic spacer region". It matches the Rfam family "Bacterial small subunit ribosomal RNA", at positions 524 to 776 of the family's 1533-position model. The record is from RNAcentral.
GACGUAGGGGGCGAGCGUUAUCCGGAUUCACUGGGCGUAAAGGGCGCGUAGGCGGUUCCGAAAGUCCGGCGUGAAAACCCACGGCUCAACCGUGGACCUGCGUCGGAAACUUCGGUGACUUGAGGGUGGUAGAGGCAACUGGAACAAGCGGUGUAGCGGUGAAAUGCGCAGAUAUCGCUUGGAACGCCGGUGGCGAAGGCGAGUUGCUGGGCCAUCCCUGACGCUGAGGCGCGAAAGCUAGGGGAGCGAACCGG